Molecule: long non-coding RNA, 222 nt
Filed under: Nicotiana benthamiana
Lineage: Eukaryota; Viridiplantae; Streptophyta; Magnoliopsida; Solanales; Solanaceae
Description: long non-coding RNA (NBEN_LNC018056)
Source: RNAcentral
GAUUUUGUAAAAAUAGUUUUACGAGAGAAGCCAUGUCAUGAGUCAAGUUGUCGGAUCAAGAUCACCAUUAAGAACGACUCAUUUAAAAUAUAAAAUUUUGUAUUGCUUGAAUCUUGUUAUCCACCAAUUUUGUGUUUGUACUUGAACUUCGUCAUAUAUCAAUUUGCGCUUGUUUGUCAUUCAUCAAAACCUACACAUAAGAACACACGUUUUAGUAUAAAG